GACGAACGCUGGCGGCGUGCCUAAUACAUGCAAGUAGAACGCACAGUUUAUACCGUAGCUUGCUACACCAUAAACUGUGAGUUGCGAACGGGUGAGUAACGCGUAGGUAACCUGCCUGGUAGCGGGGGAUAACUAUUGGAAACGAUAGCUAAUACCGCAUAAUAUUGAUUAUUGCAUGAUAAUUGAUUGAAAGAUGCUAUUGCAUCACUACCAGAUGGACCUGCGUUGUAUUAGCUAGUAGGUGAGGUAACGGCUCACCUAGGCGACGAUACAUAGCCGACCUGAGAGGGUGGUCGGCCACACUGGGACUGGGACACGGCCCAGACUCCUACGGGAGGCAGCAGUAGGGAAUCUUCGGCAAUGGACGAAAGUCUGACCGAGCAACGCCGCGUGAGUGAAGAAGGUUUUCGGAUCGUAAAGCUCUGUUGUAAGAGAAGAACGGGUGUGAGAGUGGAAAGUUCACACUGUGACGGUAUCUUACCAGAAAGGGACGGCUAACUACGUG
This 505-nucleotide ribosomal RNA is filed under the name uncultured bacterium. Its description in RNAcentral is "partial 16S ribosomal RNA". It matches the Rfam family "Bacterial small subunit ribosomal RNA", at positions 28 to 507 of the family's 1533-position model. The record is from RNAcentral.